Molecule: ribosomal RNA, 461 nt
Filed under: uncultured Methylomirabilota bacterium
Lineage: Bacteria; Methylomirabilota (SeqCode)
Description: bacterial SSU rRNA
Rfam family: Bacterial small subunit ribosomal RNA
Source: RNAcentral
UGGGCUUGACAUCCCACGAACCUUCCCGAAAGGGUUGGGUGCCCGCAAGGGAGCGUGGAGACAGGUGGUGCAUGGCUGUCGUCAGCUCGUGUCGUGAGAUGUUAGGUUAAGUCCCGCAACGAGCGCAACCCUCACCCCUUGUUGCGACCGGGUAAAGCCGAGCACUCUAGGGGAACUGCUAGCGUCAAGCUGGAGGAAGGCGGGGAUGACGUCAAGUCAUCAUGCCCCUUACGCCCUGGGCUACACACGUGCUACAAUGGGGCCGACAAAGAGACGCAAAGCCGCGAGGUAGAGCAAAACUCAAAAACGGUCUCUAAGUUCAGAUUGCAGUCUGCAACUCGACUGCAUGAAGGAGGAAUCGCUAGUAAUCGCGCAUCAGCACGGCGCGGUGAAUACGUUCCCGGGCCUUGUACACACCGCCCGUCACACCACGAAAGCCGGCUGUACUCGAAGUCGCUGAG